UACGUAGGGGGCAAGCGUUGUCCGGAUUUAUUGGGCGUAAAGAGCGUGUAGGCGGUUUGGUAGGUCCGCUGUGAAAACUCGAGCUCAACCUCGAGACGCCGGUGGAAACCAUCAGACUAGAGUCCGGAAGAGGAGAGUGGAAUUCCUGGUGUAGCGGUGAAAUGCGCAGAUAUCAGGAAGAACACCCGUGGCUAAGGCGGCUCUCUAGUACGGUACUGACGCUGAGACGCGAAAGCGUGGGGGGCGAACAGG
Molecule: ribosomal RNA, 252 nt
Filed under: uncultured bacterium
Lineage: Bacteria
Description: partial 16S ribosomal RNA
Rfam family: Bacterial small subunit ribosomal RNA
Source: RNAcentral